Long non-coding RNA from Eurytemora carolleeae, 484 nucleotides. RefSeq lists it as uncharacterized. NCBI's taxonomy places the organism in Eukaryota, Metazoa, Arthropoda, Copepoda, Calanoida, Temoridae. The transcript has 3 exons. The record is from RefSeq and is a predicted model, not a curated record.
CUGUACAUUGUUGCUCUUUAACCAGUCUUAAUUCUGCAGCUCUACUUACACAAGUACAGCGUACAGCGUACAGCGUACAGCGUACAGCGUACAGCGUACAGCGUACAGCGUACAGCGUACAGUGUACAGCAGACGACUUAAAAUUUUUGGCAGUGGAAACCUAUCUUGAGCACAACCUACUCAUACUCUUCAACUUCUCAGCCUGCCCUAUACUGCCUGAGCCCUGAACCGGCAUAAGUGACGUCAUCAAAUAUAUGAUGUUGUGUAGUGAGGUUGUGUGAAGCUAAACUAUGAGCCUGGAAGAGGAGGAGAGACCUGUCUUUAACUGGGUAGAGAAUGUAUCCCAUCUCUGCUAUAGUGAAGAAGGGGAUGGAUCUCAUGGUUGGUGUGGCUGGAAGGAUGAAUGCUCCGGCAAGGGAAUGGUUCUUCCUCUGUUCUUUGAGGAAACCUGGCCCUGGCAGCUAAGAGCAUUUAUUUAUUGUUU